Molecule: ribosomal RNA, 253 nt
Filed under: uncultured bacterium
Lineage: Bacteria
Description: partial 16S ribosomal RNA
Rfam family: Bacterial small subunit ribosomal RNA
Source: RNAcentral
UACGGAGGAUCCAAGCGUUAUCCGGAUUUAUUGGGUUUAAAGGGCGCGUAGGCGGCCUGUUAAGUCGAACGUGAAAUCCCCGGGCUCAACCCGGGAACUGCGUCCGAUACUGGCAGGCUUGAAUCCGGGAGAGGGAUGCGGAAUUCCAGGUGUAGCGGUGAAAUGCGUAGAUAUCUGGAGGAACACCGGUGGCGAAGGCGGCAUCCUGGACCGGCAUUGACGCUGAGGCGCGAAAGCCAGGGGAGCAAACGGG